AACGAACGCUGGCGGCAUGCCUAACACAUGCAAGUCGAACGAGAUCUUCGGAUCUAGUGGCGCACGGGUGCGUAACGCGUGGGAAUCUACCCUUGGGUUCGGAAUAACAGUUAGAAAUGACUGCUAAUACCGGAUGAUGACGUAAGUCCAAAGAUUUAUCGCCCAAGGAUGAGCCCGCGUAGGAUUAGGUAGUUGGUGAGGUAAAGGCUCACCAAGCCGACGAUCCUUAGCUGGUCUGAGAGGAUGAUCAGCCACACUGGGACUGAGACACGGCCCAGACUCCUACGGGAGGCAGCAGUGGGGAAUAUUGGACAAUGGGCGAAAGCCUGAUCCAGCAAUGCCGCGUGAGUGAUGAAGGCCUUAGGGUUGUAAAGCUCUUUUACCCGUGAUGAUAAUGACAGUAGCGGGAGAAUAAGCUCCGGCUAACUCCGUGCCAGCAGCCGCGG
RNAcentral lists this ribosomal RNA (446 nucleotides) under uncultured bacterium. RNAcentral's name for it is "bacterial SSU rRNA". It matches the Rfam family "Bacterial small subunit ribosomal RNA", at positions 29 to 520 of the family's 1533-position model. The record is from RNAcentral.